Molecule: non-coding RNA, 213 nt
Organism: Pelobates cultripes (western spadefoot toad)
Lineage: Eukaryota; Metazoa; Chordata; Amphibia; Anura; Pelobatidae
Source: the annotation of a GenBank genome assembly
CAUUUAUUGGCUAAAAGAGAGAGUCAGCUGAUCUUUCGGAGCCAACGAAUGACAUUCUGUGGAACAAAUUAAGCACAGAAUUGAUAUUAGCCACCCCGGAACGCGUGUUUAAGGCUGGUUAAUGACGCCACCAGUGGUGGAGUUCCACUUCCGGCAGCAAAGGUGGUAAAUCUUAGGAUGUGCAGCAUUUCGCAGCAAAACGCUUAACAGACC